CACAAAAUAUAAUUCCUCAAGGAUGUAAAGAUAAAUGUAUUAGUGAACUCACCUGAAUAUUUUCUGCUUCGUCCUUACAUCCAUGAAAAUCUAUAGAUGUUAAUGAGGGAUCUUUUUUCUCACAGCUCUCCAGACUGAGGAGCAUGUCUGCAUAGUUGGGCUGGGGGAAGAUCAAGUGACUCUCCCUGGAGUCCGUGGUGAGGGAGACCUCGUGGGAAUACGUCUGCAGGAAAGCCCGCACCCCAUCCACGCCCACAAAGCGCGAGGCGGGCACGCCAGCCAAUCCACCCCCCGCAGCCUGGAGCAGACGCGAUGAGCGCCAGCGCCUCAGUCUGAGAGCCAGCAGCACGAUCACAAAGGCAAGGAAGACGCAGGAGACUGCGGCCACCGCCACCACCAGGUACAGCGUGAGACCUGAGGCAUCAGGGUCAGCUGGGGGCUCGAGACUGCCCAGGUCGGCCAGGACGUCUGGAAUGCUGUCGGCCACCGCCACCGUGAGCGUGACGGUGGCCGAGAGAGGGGGUUGGCCGUGGUCUUGCACUGCCACCACCAGGCUCUGCUUGAGCGCAUCUCUGUCCUGCAGGGCCCGCGCUGUGCGCACCUCGCCCGUGUGCAGCCCCACCGCGAAAAGCCCUGGCUCGCUGGCCUUGAGCAGGCGGUAGGACAACCAGGCGUUCUGGCCAGAGUCUCUAUCCACCGCCACCACCUUGGUUACCAGGUAGCCGGGCUCUGCCGAUCGGGGUGCCAGCUCCACGCCUGUGGAACCGUCGGUGGGGAGGGCGGGGUACAGGAUCUCCGGUGUGUUGUCAUUCUGGUCAAGAAUGAAUAUACUCAAGGACACAUUGCUGCUAAGCGGUGGGUCUCCGCUGUCCUGCGCAGUCACUCUCAGUUGCAGGUCACGGAAUUGCUCAUAGUCGAAGGAAUGCAAGGCAUACAGGACACCAGUGUCAGAGUUGAUGGACACAUAGGAGGAUAGGGGUGCCCCCCGGAGCGUGUCUUCAGACAGGGAGUAAGUGACUUGGGCAUUCUCAUGGCUGUCCGGGUCAUGUGCAGUCACAGAGAAGAUGGAGGCACCUCUGGGGUUGUUUUCAGGGAUGUAGACAGAAUAGGAGGAGUGGGGGAAGGCAGGUGGGUUGUCGUUGGUAUCUGCCACAUUCACUGAGAUGUGAGUUUCCAUGGACAAGGGUGGGGUUCCACCAUCUGUGGCUUUCAGUGUGAUGUUAUACACAGGGAGUUUUUCCCGGUCUAGUUUUUUCGCUGUCACCAACCUAUAAUAAUUGUCUACUGAUCUUUCUAAUUUAAAAGGCAGAUUUUCUGAAAUAGUGCAGGUCACCUCACCAUUCUUGCCGGAAUCUCGAUCUUGAAGGUAGAAAAGAGCAAUUACUGUUCCAGGAGGAGUGUCUUCAGGGAUUGAGUUGCUUACAGAUGUUAGAGUCACUUCUGGGGCAUUGUCAUUCACAUCUAAAAUUGUGAUAAUUACUUUAGCCCUUGUCAUGCUACCAGGACCGUCCUGAGCCUGAACUUCCAUUUCAUAGUAGCUGGACUCUUCAUAAUCUAGGCCUUCUGAAGUUGAUAAUUCUCCUGUAUGAGGGUUCAGUUGGAAUAUCUGUAGAAUUUUUUGAGUUAUUUUCCGGAAAGAAUAUGUCACUUCCCCAUUGACUCCCUCAUCCAGAUCGACAGCGUGUACUGUGAGCAAUCUUGUGCCCACUGGUACGUUCUCAGGGACAGUUACUUGGUACUGAGGCAAAGAGAAGACUGGCACGUGAUCAUUCACAUCCACCACAGUUACCUGGAUGCGGGCGGUUUCCGAUCGGGGUGGGUCACCGCCGUCAGAGGCUGUAAGGAGUAGGUGGUGAACAGCCUCUUCCUCUCUAUCCAGCACCCUUUCCAGCACUAAUUCUGGAUAUUUAGCUCCAUCAUCUCCAGUCUGCACAACCAGGGAGAAGUGACGAUUGGGACUGAGCUGGUAGCUCUGGAGGGAGUUCGUGCCCACAUCUGGAUCCCUAGCCUCAUUUAAGGGAAACCGCACCCCAGGAGCUGUGUUCUCCGUUAUUUUUACAGUCAUUUCUUCUGUCAAGAAUCUAGGAGAAUUGUCAUUAACAUCUAUUAUUUCCACUUCUAUAGGGUAAAGACUCAUUUUAUCCAUCAGGAUGUUAAAGUUCACCAGGCACCGUGCACUCUGAGCGCAGAGCUCCUCCCGGUCUAUUCUGCCUGCAGUGACCAAGCUGCCGCUUCGCGGAUUCAGAGCGAAAAGCUGUGUCCUACCUCUGGAGACGAUGCGGAUUCCGUGCUCUGCCAGUUCCCGGGGCUCCAGGCCCAGAUCCUUAGCGAUAUUACCCACAAAAGACCCUGUGUCUGUUUCCUCCGGCAAAGAGUAGAAAAUAUGUCCUGCCCAAGCUUCUCUCCGGGUCCCCAGGAGGAUGGAGAGCAGGAUGAAUCCUCUGUAGUCUCGACCCCUCUUCAGAGUCGCCAUUGUUGUCCUGCUGAUCUUGUUAGACACUGGACUAUCUCCUUUUGCGCUUAUGGAUGCCAGUGUGUCAGCGUGGAAUCCUUUGUAUUCAUAAGAGAAGCCCGGAAUUUAGUAUAAUAGAGACCGGAGUUUGAUGCAGCUUGGAAGAGAAUUUGUCUCAAUCUGAUGUUUCUUUGUACUGUAAAAUCUCGGUGGCUCUGGCAGAUCUUAUUGCAUCACUUUCCCCGUGGUUGGUGAACAGCGGCACUCAGAGUCCUUACUAAGUUACUGCACCAUAUUGAAGCAAGAUAACUGAUUUUUCAGAAAGUUGUUUUAUCCUUCAAAAUCCUUCCAUUUAUAUGUCUUCGAUAUAUAUAUCUAACUUAAAAAUACAUUCCAGUUAAAUGAAAUAAUGCAACAAUGCUUAUGAUGGAUGCUUAUUAAUUCAAGAUAAUUGCAUUUUUUUUUUCUCCUUUGCAUUGCAACUUUGAAAUGAUGUUGGGUGCUACCUCAGACUUCACUGAACAUGGAGUAAAAGUAGUGUUUUCAGGUAAAAAAAAGUACAACUUAUUUUGAAAAGGUGUGUGUAUGUAUACAUAAGAAAGAUGCUAUGUAGAAAUCGUUUUCAUCAGUAUAAUAAAUUUAAGUUAAUUCAUUAAUAUUGAACACAUACUAUGUUCUAGACACUACCACGUAAGACUCAGUCAAAAUUUUCUUUAAGAUACAGACAGGUCAUUUAAUUAAGUUUUUGAUUGGAAGGAACCUUAGAGAUGAUUUAGUCCAAUACCUUCAUUUUAAUGAUUUUAAAAAUAAGAGGAAAUUACCUUGUCCUUGAUUAUAUAUAUAAUAGUAUACGUUGGAAUACAAAUAUCAUCACUUCCAGUGUUUUGAGCAGAAAAAAGAAAACCAUUUGCCUUGGCUGAUGCUUUAUGCUCAAAAAGUGCCAUUAGAGAUGAGGCGAGAACCCAAGCAGUAACGGUCAGCUAUAGACGAAAUUUUGUACAGAAGGCAGGAAUUUGCAGAGAUUCUACUAGCUGUGGAGUGUUAAAGUGGAUGUUGACUGCUUCUCUUCAUUAUGCAAUUCAAAUAAUCUUCCUACUCUAGAUGAUUAUUCUAGAAUAAUUGAAAAAAGAUGGGCCUCCAGAUAGCCUUUGAGCAUACAAACAGAACUGUCCUGAGAAGAUCAUUAGAGGUACCAAUUUUUCCACUGAUGUUAAGUAAAACUGAAUUGUUGAUGGCUCAGUUCUUCUCAGCUUAUAGAAAUAAAGUUCCUUCCACAUAGUUGCAAGAGAAAAGAGAGUUACCUGUUCUGAAAUGAAGACCUGGCAAGAAAUAACCCUACUUCAUGGGGCGCCUGGAUGGCUCAGUUGGAAGAGCGUGCAAUUCUUGAUUUUGAGAUUGUGAGUUCAGGCCCCAUGUUAGGUUUAGAGAUUACUUAUAUAAAUAAACUUUUUUAAAAAGAAAUAACCUUGCUUUGUAAAUUAUUUUAAGCCAUAGGGGAGUAGAUAGCAGCACCAGGAAGAGAAAUCAAAAGUAGCACUGAAAAUGCUUGACUUAGUUGCUGGAGAUUUCCUAAUUACGUAAUCUAUUUCUGCUCUCUGAUGGCACUGGUCCAAAAUAUAGGCAAUGCUUUGAAUGAAAUGCUGUUUUAAUCUAUCAAAAUAAUUUACAGCCAUGUUUUUUUCAUCAAGUAGACAGAAUAACUUUUUGUUCAAAGGAGCCAAUAUGAGUAUUACAGAUUAGUUCCAUAAAUAGGAGUUAAAUACUAUUUGUUUAGUAGUAAUUUUGAACUUCUUGUUGACGUAAGCAAAGUCAUUAAAGAUCAUGAGUACUUGCAGACAUUUUUAAACAAAACUUUUAUGUCUGAAUAUUAUGGCUGCCAAUGUUGUGAUCUUUUUUCUACCUAACACUUCAAAAAUCAUAGUGUCAUCUUACAUUUCUUUCUUAUUCUACUAUUUUUAAAAAGUCUCAGUUAACUUAUUACUUCUGGAUACCUUAUUUGGAACUAAAUAAGUAAGAUCUAGAUGAAUAAGAUUAUGAACAUACUCUGAACAUAAAGCAUACUUUAGGGAAUAACUGGCUUUAUAUCUCUAGUAACCAAUUUUUCUAAGUUACUCUACAACAUAAAUUUAAAUAUUAAAGAUCUCUACUAGACCAAUGAGUUAUGUUAAAUAUAACAUAGGUUUACCAUAUAAACUGAAAUAAGUUUAGUUUUAAAGGAAGUAUGUUAUUAUUGAUUGAGUUAUUAGGAAGAAUGGACCUUCAUCUGUUUACUUGCAUAAAAAAUUCUAUGGAAAAAAAUUGUAUGGAAAGUCUAAUUGACUUCCUAGGCAUCGAGUUAUUCAUCAUCUCUCCUUUCUUUAUGGAACUUUUUUUCUAUUGAGAAAACAUUGUUUGGAGUUCUGUUUAGAUUUACAUUCCCAGGCAAACAUGUAGGUAUUUUCCAUUUCUCUCUGAGAUUUUUACUUCUUCCCAUUGACAACUGUCACCUCAACAGAAGUUUCAUCAGAUGGGUGGUUUUCAAAGAUGAUAAACUAGCCCAAUAAUUUGGUAGGUUUUCCUCCUGAUGCUUCAAAAUUCAGUACUUAAAGUUUCAGACUGCCUAUCUUAUUAAUAUGAUCUGUAUUGUAUGUAGGUCUGAGAACCUCAGUUAGUCAGAAUUUAGCAAAUUCCAUGACUGCUAGGAUUUAACACUUGGUCAGUCCACAUGAAUGAGUAUUAUUGAGAGUAGAAUCUGAUAGUUUUUCUCAAUAAAAUAUUUUAUUUAUUUAAAUGAAAUGGUCAUAGGUAAUUCAGGUAAGAGAAUGAAAUAAUGAAACAAACCAUCCUACUAUCCCAUUAGUGAGUGAACAGAUAAGACGAAUAAAAUAAACCAGCCUACUAUCCAUAAAACCCAGUUAAGUGAACUUUGCUUACAACAAUGCAGGUUUAAGAUGUAAUUUAUUUUUAUUUUUUCAAGAUGUAGCUUAAAUCAUCCAGAAUUGGUGCUAUAAAAAACAUUUACACUCUCAGAUCAUAUCAAACAAAUCUUAAUACUUGUAUGAGAUAAUCUGACUCCCAUGACCAAUACCCAAGAUUCAAGUUGUUUAAAAUUAUUUACUAUUAAAUUCCUAAUGAAACCAUCAAAUAAUUAUAUCACAAAUGUCCAAGAAAAUCAUAUUUGAAAAUGUGUAUGUCUGGAAUCUCUUAGUCGUAUACAUUUGGAAUCUUGAAAUAAAUAAUUCUAAAAUAAUCUCUGAGAUGUAAAUACCACAAUACUGACUUGGGGAAACAUAGAAUACAUUUAGCAUCUAAUUUAAAGGCAUCAACUCAACAUUAUAUUAAAAUUUUUUUUACGUUUAUUUAUUUUUGAGAAACAGAGAGAGACAGAGCACAAGUGGGGGAGGGGCAGAGAUAGAAGGAGACACAGAAUCCGAAGCAGGCUCCAGGCUCCGAGCUGUCAGCACAGAGCCCAAUGCAAUUCAGGGCUUGAACUCACAAACUGCGAGAUCAUGACCUGAGCCGAAGCCAGAUGCUGAACCGACUGAGCCACGCAGGUGCCCCAAUAUUAUCUUAGAGAUGAUUGGGGCACCUGGGUGUUUCAUUCGGUUAAGCAUCCAACUUCAGCUUAGGUCAUGAUCUCACAGUUGGUGGGCUUAAGGACCACAUCAGGCUCUGCACUGAUAACUCAGAGCCUGGAGCCUGGUUCAGAUUCUGUGUUUCCCUUGCUCUCUCCCCCUCACCCCCUUGUGCACACACACUCUCUCUCUCUGAAAAAGAAAUAAAUAAACAUUAAAAAAAAAGACUGACAAUUUCCGGUUACAAAGGAAGGUUCUCAUUUAUUUUCAAGAUAUCUUUUCAAUUAUUUAUGUUAAAUGUGAAUACCCAAUUUAGAAGCAUAAGUGGCCAAUCUAUUGCAUUAUCAGAUCAUAGAAUCCUCCAGCUCAGGAUUGGAAAAUACCUUGACUAUUAUGUAUGUCAACAACUCAUCCAAUUAUAUUAUCCCCUGUAUUCUAUUAAUUCCAGGGCCAACAGCUUACUUUUGAAAGGAGCUAAUAAUAGAACCUCUUACCUCCUAGGCAAUCCAUUUUCCAUUAGAACAACUUCAACAACUCAAAACCUUGCUUUUUUCUACUCAUCAAACCACAGUUUCAUUCACACCUUUGGGCCAUGAUGAAUGAGACUAAUUCUUCUAAUGACAGCUCUCCUUUCCUUAAAUAUUUGGAUAGAGUUUCUAUAUGACAGAAACCUUAUUUUAUGUGGGUUAAAUGUGCUAAAUUAUUUAAAUUCUUAUUUGAACACUAUCAAUCCUUCACUCUCCCAUUCAAUAUUCAGUUCUCUAAUUUUUAGAGAUACAUCCUUGUAAGUGGACACUAAUAAGCAUAGUUAGAAAUUCAUUUCGGGAGUGCAUGGGUGGCUCAUUUGAUUAAGCAUCUGGCUUCAUCUGGGAUCAUGAUCUCCUGUUUCGUGAGUUCCAGCCCUGCAUCAGGCUCUCUGCUGUCAGCACAGAGCCUGCUUCGGAUCUUCUGUCUCCCUCUCACUCUGCCCCUCCACUGCUUGUGCACAAUAGUGCACUCUCUCUCCCUCAAAAAUAAACAUAAAAAAUUAUUUUAAAAAUUCAUUUGCACUCUUAAGUACUAUCAACCACACAGAUUGCAGAAUACAUUAUAGUAGGCAUACAGCAUCAGAUGCUUACAUUUGUUAACAUGUUAACAAUCACAAUUAUAAUACUGGUGAUGUCAACAAAUACUUGUUCACUAUACUACUUUAUAGUUAAAAAAAACUUUAAUUAUUUUGUUAUAUUUUCUCAGAAUUUGUGUGAAGUACAGAAGACAAGUCUUUUUAAUUUAAAUUUUACUUUAAAAACUAUAGAUAUUGUGACUGGCCCGAGAUGAAUAACAAAUAGUUCCAGGAAUGUUAUUCAGGCUAACACCAAAGAUCGGGUCUUCUCUGCUACAGAGAUCAAUUACUUUUAUCUUUCAUAAAAAUAAUUUUUGAUUCCUAAGUAGUAAAGGGGGAAAAUAUCUCUCACAAAUCUCCAUUAUUUUAGAAAGCACGUGCUAUUAAUUAAAAUCGGGGGAAACUGAGACCUUGAUCUUAACAGAGGCUGCAAUUCAGUUUUUUUUUACAUUAGAAAAAGAAUCUCAUGGGGCACCUGACUGGCUCAAUUGAUUGAGGGUCUCUGGAUUUCACUCUGGAUUUCAGCUCAGGUCAUGAUCCCAGGGUGGUGGAUGGAUCCCCACUUCAGGCUCUGCCAACAUGGGAUAUACUCUCUCUCUCUUACUCUCUCUCUCUCUCUCAAUCUCUCUCUCUGCCCCUCCCCUGCUCAAACACUUUCUCUCUCAAAAUAAAUUAAAAACAUUUUGAAAAGAAAAAGAAUCUCACAAAUGUCACAAGGCAGGAACACACACACACACACACACACACACACACACACACACACACACACACUCUAACAAAAGAAAUGAACGAAACCCAAGGCAGAAAGAGCUUGCCAGCAGAAAGGUAAAGAAAAUCUGCAUCAUACAUUAAGAUUUUUUUCAUGAAAUUAGACGAAACUAAGAUUUAAUAGAGUUCAACUGAUAUUUUAAAAAUUCUCAAAAUUGACGCACUGCAAAGACUAAGAAAACUAAGCACUGAUCAAAGAAAAUUUUAAACGUUCCUGUUCAAAUAAAACCAAUAAAAGGAAUAACCUCACCUGAACAAGGGAGUCUUCCUCUUUACAAAAACCUGAAUCUUCCUGAAUCAAAAGAGGCUCGCUUUUCCCACAGCUUUCUCCGCUGAUAAGCGUGUCGGCAUAGUUGGGCUGGGGGAAGAUCACGUGACUCUCCCUGGAGUCCGCCCUGACCGAGACCUCCUGGGAGUAGGUCUGCAGAAAAGCGCGCACUCCGUCCACGCCCACAAAGCUCGAGGCGGGCACGCCAGCCAAUCCAACCCCCGCAGCCUGGAGUAGACGGGACGAAUGCCAGCGCCUCAGCCUGAGUCCCAGCAGCACGAUCACAAAGGCAAGGAAGACGCAGGAGAUUGCGGCCACCGCCACCACCAGGUACAGCGUGAGACCUGAGGCAUCAGGGUCGGCCGAGGGCCUGAUGCUGCCCAGGUCAGUCAGGACGUCUGGAAUGCUGUCGGCCACCGCCACCGUGAGCGUGACGGUGGCCGAGAGAGGGGGUUGGCCGUGGUCUUGCACUGCCACCACCAGGCUCUGCUUGAGCGCAUCUCUGUCCUGCAGGGGCCGCGCUGUGCGCACCUCGCCCGUGUGCAGCCCCACCGCGAAAAGCCCUGGCUCGCUGGCCUUGAGCAGGCGGUAGGACAACCAGGCGUUCUGGCCAGAGUCUCUAUCCACCGCCACCACCUUGGUUACCAGGUAGCCGGGCUCUGCCGAUCGGGGUGCCAGCUCCACGCCUGUGGAACCGUCGGUGGGGAGGGCGGGGUACAGGAUCUCCGGUGUGUUGUCAUUCUGGUCAAGAAUGAAUAUACUCAAGGACACAUUGCUGCUAAGCGGUGGGUCUCCGCUGUCCUGCGCAGUCACUCUCAGUUGCAGGUCACGGAAUUGCUCAUAGUCGAAGGAAUGCAAGGCAUACAGGACACCAGUGUCAGAGUUGAUGGACACAUAGGAGGAUAGGGGUGCCCCCCGGAGCGUGUCUUCAGACAGGGAGUAAGUGACUUGGGCAUUCUCAUGGCUGUCCGGGUCAUGUGCAGUCACAGAGAAGAUGGAGGCACCUCUGGGGUUGUUUUCAGGGAUGUAGACAGAAUAGGAGGAGUGGGGGAAGGCAGGUGGGUUGUCGUUGAUAUCUGCCACAUUUAGGUAAAUAAGUGUUUCUGUAGACAGAGGUGGAAUUCCUUUGUCUGUGACUGUUACAGUGAUGUUGUACAAGGAUACCUGUUCUCGAUCUAGUACUGUAUUGGUCACUAAUCGAUAAUAAUUGUCUACUGAUUUUUCCAGUUCAAAUGGCAUACUUCUUGAGAUGGAGCAUGUUACCAGGCCAUUCAGUCCAGAGUCUCUAUCAUAUACUUGAAAAAGAGCGAUUACUGUUCCUGGAGGCAUACUUUCAGCAACUGAUCUGCUUCCAGAUGUAACUACCACUUCUGGUACAUUAUCAUUUACAUCUAAGAUAGUUAUUAAGACUUUUGCUCUGUCAAGUAGACCUGGCCUAUCUCUGGCUUCAACAUCCAGUUCAUAAAAGCUUGAAUCCUCAUAGUCUAAAUUUGCAGAGAUCGAGAUUUCUCCAGUGAAAACAUUCAAGCAGAAAAUCUUGGAGAUCUUUUCUGUUACCCUCAGGAAGGAAUACAUUACUUCCGCAUGGACUCCUUCAUCCUGGUCAGUAGCAUUUACCGACAAGACUGGUGUGCCUACUGGCAGGUUUUCAGGAACACUUACACGAUAGAUAGGCUGAGUAAAUACUGGAGCGUUGUCAUUCACGUCUAGGACAGUUACCACAAUUCGAGCAGUGCCUGAGCGGACAGGUUCACCGCCAUCCACAGCAGUAAGGAUGAGGUGGUGAACGGCAUCUCCCUCCCGAUCCAGGGCACGCUCAAGCACCAGCUCCGGGUAUUUGGGCCUAUCAGCUUCACUCUGCACGUCCACUGAGAAGUGACUAUUCUUGCUGAGUUUGAAGCCUUGAAGAGAGUUCAUUCCCACAUCCAGGUCAUAGACCUCCAUUAGUGGAAAACGAGAGGAUGGGGGUGCGUUUUCCGGAAUUUUCACUUCUAAUUCUUCCCUAAAGAAUCGGGGUGUGUUGUCAUUAAUGUCCAGUAUUUCCACUUCAAUGGGAUAAAGAUUCAGUUUAUCCUCAAUGAGGAUGUUAAAACUCACCAGACACCGCGCGGUCUGGGCACAGAGCUCCUCCCGGUCUAUUCUGUCUGCGGUGACCAAGUUGCCGCUUCGCGGGUUCAGAGAAAAGAGCUGCAUCCUACCUCUGGAGACGAUGCGGACUCCAUGCUCCCCCAGCUCCUGGAGCUCUAGCCCCAGAUCGUCAGCGAUGUUUCCUACGAAGGAACCUUUGUCCAGCUCUUCAGGAAUGGAAUAACGGAUCUGCCUGGCCCCGAGCUCCCCCAGAAUCCCCAGCAGAAUAACGAGUACCACUAAUCCGCUCCGGUGCCGGCGCUUUUGCAGAGCUGCCAUGACAGGCUCCUUAUGGACUUCCUGGGGAUUGUGAGUAGAGGGAGCAGGUUCACAAUCACUUUUUUGUGCCCCUCUGAAUUAGAAGCCAAGGUCCAUAAACAAGUAGAGGUCAGAUGCGAAGCGUUUUAGAUUAGAAUUUCUGCGCAGCUGGAGAGCUAUGGUGUCUGAUCUGCUUUGUGCUGGAGGAUAUUACUUGAGUUGUCAUUACUUUCCUUGCCGGGAUUAGUGAACAGCGACGCUUAGAGUCCUAACUUAAUACUGCACCGUUUUUGUGAAACCAUCAUGCAAAGAAUCUUAUUUCUGCUAAAUCUGCUUAGAUGUCACUCAUAUUUCCCUCCCCAAGAAGAAUAAAAGCGCAUAUUUUGAAUAGUUUUAUAUAUUCCCAGGAAUUUAUUACUCAUUUUUUGGGGGGUCAUGAGCUCUUAGGGCCUUGGAGGAAAGAAAUAAGAUUAUGCUUUUCUGUAAAUUUGAAUUCUAUUCCACCAUCAUUUAUAUUUGUCCCAUUUUCAUUUUUUUAAUGUUUCACAUUUUUACUUAAAUUCUAGUUAGUUAAGAUAUAGUGUAAUACUAGUUUCAGGAUAGAUUUUAGUGAUUCAUCACUUAUAUGUAACACCCAGGGCUCAUCACAAGUGCCGUCCUUAAUAUCUAGCACCCAUUUAGCCCAUCCCCCCCCACUUCCCCUCCAGCAACCCUCAGUUUCUUCUCUAUAGUUAAGAAUCUCUUUUAUUUGUCCCAUUGUCAAUAAGGGCACCAACAACUACACAUUUGGAACCAAUUCACCUACUGCCAGUUACAAGUAUUGCCACGUUUAGAUGUCAUCUAAUUUAUUAACACAUAGAUUAAUAAACGCUCUAGCAUAAGCAAUAUUUCUGUAUACUUUUAAAAUCAUGAAAAGGGGGGCAGUUGGCUGGCUCAAUCAGAGUAGCCUGUGACUCUUGAUAUCCAUGUCAUGAAUUUGAGCCCCAUGUUGGGUGUAGGGAUUACUUAAAUGAAUUAAAAAAAACUGUAAAAAUAAAAUAAAAACAUAAAAAGGAAGUGAAAAUAUAUUGUCUACAAUGAGAAAACUUGUAUUAAUAUAUACAAAACAUAAUUUAGGACUGACUGCAUUGAAACUAAGUAAACCACUUAAGUGCCUACAUUUGUGUUUAAUUAUAUAAGGUUUCCCAAUGACAGGGUGAUGCUAAUAUAUCAAAAAUGUUUCAUGAUAUGUGGUUUUAGAUUUAACAAAAAUUUCAAGACAUCACAAGGCCCCUUUAUAUGAAAGACUGCAACACAGAUAAAUGAACAAAAAAAUUCUAACACCCCUCACACACAAACGAUGCCCAGAAAAAUCAAUAAAACACAAUAAAAUCAGGGUAUAGUUAGCCUGUAUACUUUUUAUCUAUAACCUAAUUAUACUUAUAGAAAUAAAAGGUUUUGACGUAACUCACCUGUUGCAAAUUGACUGAAUUAGAAGUCAUUUUGCGAUUAUCAUUAUUGGCACUUUCAAACCAAGAGGCUUCAUUACAUAGAAGAUCUUGUGAUGGACCAUUUUCAGGCUUUAUACUGAGAAAUUUAAACUCAGUCUCUGAGGAAUGUGAGGCAGCACAUAGAUUGUAAGAAUAAGGCAAAGUCCCUUCGCUAAAGUUGGGAAUAACCCCAGAUCCAGUCUUGGAGCAGACAUCAGUCUUAAAGCAGCUCCAGGAGGAAGGGCGGGAGGAGCGUCGCAGGCUCAGCGCAACCGCUAGAAUCACUGCUAGGAGAAACAGCACUGAGAUCAAGGCCAAGGCCACCACCAGGUAAAACUGCAGCUCAGCCUGGGGGUCAGAGGGCUCCGGACGGUCGCUGACAUCCGGCAGCGCCUCUUGUAGGCUGUCUGCGAAAACCAGGAGCAACGUGACAGUUGCGGAAAGGGGCGGCUGUCCUCCAUCCCGCACGGCGACCAGCAGGCGCUGGCGGGCCGCGUCCCUGUCGCCCAAAGCACGCGCAGUGCGCACCUCGCCCGUGCGCAGCCCCAGGCUGAAGAGUCCGGGCUCGCUGGCCUGCAGCACGUGGUACGACAGCCACGCAUUGUGUCCCGAGUCGGCGUCCACCGCCACCACCUUGGUGACCAGGUAGCCGGGCUGCGCGGCGCGCGGCACCGUGUCGAAGAGCGCCGAGCCGUCGGGCCCCAGCGCCGGGUACAGCACCCUAGGCGCGUUGUCGUUGCGGUCGCCCACCAACACGCGCAAGCUCACGUUGGCGCUGAGCGCGGGCGAGCCCUGGUCGCGGGCCUGCACCGUCAGCUCGAAGGCGCGCAGCUGCUCGUGGUCGAAGGCGCGCUGCGCGAACACCACGCCGCUCUGCGCGCUCACGGACACGUAGGACGCCAGCGCCCGCGGCUCCAGGUCGCUGGCCACGAUGGAGUAGGAGACGUGGCCGUUGGGUCCCAGGUCGGGGUCGGAGGCGCUGACUUGGGCGAUAGAGGCUCCAGGAGGAUUGUUCUCAACCACGUGGACCACGUAAGAAGGCUGUGGGAAAACCGGCGCGUUGUCAUUGACAUCAGCAAUGUUCAAGAUGACACUUCUGUUGGAGGAGAGGGCUGGCCUUCCCCUGUCGGUGACUGUGAUGGUAAUGUUGUAUUCCGGAGUCUGCUCUCGAUCUAGGGCUCCAUCUGUGACCAACUUGUAUGUGUUUUUUGUAUCUUGAACUAUUUUAAAUGGGAACUUUCCUUUUAGUUGGCAGAAAACUUCCCCAUUAAAUCCAGAAUCGAGGUCAUAGGUUUUGAUCAGGACAACAACAGUCCCCAACUCAGCAUCUUCUAGAAUAUGUUUAGAUUCAGAAUCCAGGGUUAUCUCUGGUGUAUUGUCGUUUUCAUCCAAAAUAUCUAUUUGUACUUUACAGUGUGCUGUGUGAUGUCCACCAUCCUUUGCUUCCACCCCAAUUGUGUAGCUCGCUCUCUCUUCAAAGUCCAGUCCUCCGCCAGUGGUGAGUUCCCCUGUUGUACUGUCCAGUUUGAACAGCUGUCUCACUGCCCUACCAAUGUUGAUGAAAGUGUAGGUGAUCACAGCAUUGACCCCUUCAUCCAAGUCAGUGGCCAUCACUCUUAGUACAGAGGAGCCCACAGGCAGGUUCUCUGGAACACUGACCCUGUAAAUGUCCUGGGUGAACACUGGUGCAUUAUCAUUUGCAUCUGCCACAACCACCAUGAUCUGGGUAGUGCAGCUUCUGGCUGGGUCACCCCCAUCCACAGCCGUGAGGACCAGGUGGUGGUGUGACUGCUCUUCCCUGUCCAGGGGAGUCUUCACUACCAGUUCUGGGUACCUACUGCCAUCUGGGUUCUCCUUCUGGAUCAAAGAGAAGUGUGGGUUGGGACUGAGGUAGUACUGCUGCAGGGAAUUGACACCUACAUCUGAAUCUUGCGCGGGUUCCAGGGCAAAGGAGGCUCCGGUUAUGGCCAGUUCACUGAUUUCCAAUUCAGUGAUAUUUUGGCUAAAGGUUGGUGGAUUGUCAUUGACAUCCUGAAUUACCACACUUACAUGAAAGAAGUUCAAAGGCUUUUCGGCCACCAAUUCGAAUUCUAGAACACAUGUCGACUUCUCGCCACAAAUCUGCUCUCGGUCUAUACGGUCACUAACAAGUAAGUCCCCAUUCUCAGUACUCACUGUAAACAGUUUCUUCUGUGCACUAACACGCAGGUUUCGAGCAGGCAAAUCUCCAACGCCAAUCCCCAGAUCCUUGGCGAGGUUUCCCACAAGCGAGCCCCUGGCCAGCUCCUCCGGAAUAGUAUAGAGGAUCUGCUCCGAGAUCACCGGGCAGAACAAAGACAGCAAAGAGAGAAACAGCAUUUGUCUCCGCCCAGCCGGGCCCUUCAAUCCCAAGUGAUCGCUCAUCCCGCUUUCAGCGCCUUUGCCUUUCUAACUCUGAAGAGCUAUGGUCGCUAAAUUAUCCCAAGAAUUCUCCGAGCAGGAGCAACUCCUUGAUUUGUCUUGGCAGGCGGGUUCUAACAAAUAUCUUAGCGUCACAGAGCCAGAGGCAGAGUGUCCAAUUCUCGCGGUUCCGCGGUGGGCUGGCGAUUCCUUUGCGCCAGGAGAAGCUGAUACUUCGCUCAGUACUAGCCAACAGCGGCACCCCGCGUCUGGGCUGCAGAACUGCAGUAGUGGUUACUACAUCAGCUCCAAGUAAGGAGUGGGUUAGAAGAAAAUUCUACUGUGUCCUGAUAUAGAUACUCAUUUUUCUCAUUUUACAAGGAUUUUAACAUUUUAAAUAUUCACUCUAUCUUUGGUCUGGCUGUGAUUUUAUUUGAACCUGAGCUUUAUCCAUCUAAAUCAAGUCAUUUUUACUCCUCAAAGAGCAGAGGUAACUUGCUGAAGACAUUGGCAUCGUAGUGCUUUUCAUUUCCAUUUUCAUAAAAUGGCUAUAAUAACAUCUUCCCUGUGUUACUUAGCAAAAUUGAAGACCAAAUAAAAUAAUAUGUAGAAAAUGACACAAAUGAAAGUAGUGGUGGUGCAGCAGAAAGUAUAAUAGGAAAAUUCUUGAAAUAUCAGCUUGAUAUGUAUUGUUACUACUCCACUCUAUUUUCUUUUUUUCUAACUUAAAAAUGUUACAAAUAUCAUAGCUUUUAGUUGUAUACUGUGUUUCACUUCCUUCUAUAUUAUCAUUGUCACCUUACCCCCCAAAUAAUUGAUAUGUAAGCAAAGAGACUGAUUAUUCUUAUAAAACAGGAGUAUGGUAAGAAGCAAGAAGAAACUCCUUGUUAGUUUCCAAGUGUCUACUUUCAAAUGACUAGGAUUCAAAAACUAUUCCUCUGAUUUUACUUUUUCCACACUACUUUACCAUUGUCUCUAAUGGUACUGUUUCUUCUCAAGUAGCUUAGCAAUGGUGAGUUAUUCGAAUUUGGGGAGUGAAGUAUGAGUCCUUAUAAUCACAUAUUCUAAAGAAAGUAAUCUAUGUAGUCCACUUUUUUUGGUCCCAAGGUUACUAUCAGAUCAUCCCAACCCUUUGUUACUGACAUUCUUGCCUUGUAAAUAAGCAUGUCAAUUUUAUGUUUCUGAUAGGUCUUACAGGUUUAAUUCCAUUUCCAAACUAGAAAUCUUCAUAAAGAAACUUUUUUAACCUACACAAUACAUUGUCAUUCUAAAACUUAGCGGAUGUGUAGCAAUGCUGAACUCAUAGUGGAAUAGCAUUAGACAUCUUAAACUGUUCAUUGUAUUCAGGAUUCUAGGCAGAAACUCAUGGACAUCUCUACUUCAUACAAACAUAAAAAACAGAUUCGAGACUUUGCUCCAAAACAUGACUGAACAAUAUGGUGUGAACACUUAAAUUAGUAUAGGACAGUUAUCUUUUCAGAGCACAUGUGAAACUAAAGAUUCAAAUAUUUCAAAGAAUAUGGAGUAUACACAGUAUAUACACUCAGAGUGUUGGAUCAAGCAUUUCAUUAUAUAAAGUCUAUUGAAGUUUAUAGAGAUUUACUCAGGACACAUAUCCAAAGUCUAUAACAUCUUCAUUAAAAUAUAAUGAAAAGAAAAAAAUAAUAUUUAUUAUAAAAUAUAAUGAAAAAAUGAGUUUUCUUGUAAGAGUGAAUGGUAUCAGUCUCCAUCCUCCAUCAUACAGAUUCUUGUUACUCUUUUGAUGUAUUUGCUGUUCAGUGAAUCUGCACAUUUUACACUGUGAUCAGAAUUGUCCAGAUAAAAAUUAAUUGGAUGCCCUUCAAAUAAAUAUUUAAAAAAUAAAAAUUAAGUCAUAGGUUCCCACAUGUAACAAUAAACCAUUUGUUUGGUCAGGUAAUGUAGCCUAUUAUCCCAUUCGUAAUAUUUUAUUGCAAUUUCCCCUAUUUAUUCAUACUUUGCAGCUGAUAAAGUACAGUAUUUGAAAACUUUAAAGAGAAGCAUCUGAAAAUCAUCUUCAGUAAAUCAGAUAUCAAAAAUGAAAAGGGUAGUUCUUCUUUUUAAAAAAAAAUUUUGUUUAAUGUUUAUUCGUUUUUGAGAGAGACCGAGAUAGAGUGGAUGGGAGAGAGGCAGAGAGAGGGAGACACAGAAUCUGAAGCAGGUUUCAGGCUCUGAGCUGUCAGCACAGAGCCAGAUGUGCGGCUUGAACCCAUGAACUGGGAGAUCAUGACCUGAGCUGAAGUUGGAAGCUUAACCAACUGAGCCACCCAGGUGCCCCAAAAGGGUAGUUCUUCUUAAGCAACACACACUCAUGAAUUUUAAUACCCAAUGAAAUACCCACAUUUCAUUAAGAAGGAUUAUUAAUUUAAGAUGAGCAUGUGAAUUUCAAAAUUUUAAACAAUUUUUAUGUUGAAUUGAUUUUCCAAGUACAAAUCUUAGAGUCCGGGGUGCCUGGGUGGCUCAGUCGGUUAAGUGUCUGACUCUUGAUUUUGGCUCAGGUCAUGAUCUCACAGUCAUAAGAUCAAGCCCAGCAUGUCUGGCUCCAUGCUGGGCAUGAAGCCUGCUUAAUAUUCUCUCCUCCUCUCCCUCUACCCUUCCCCUCCCUGCUCAUGCUCUCUCUCUCUCGCUCAAAAAAAUAAUAAAUAAUUUUAAAAACCACAAAUCUUAGAGUCUAGUAAUAAAGCAGAAUUGUACUGACACUUGAAUAAAUGCAAACAUUCAAGUAGAUAUUGAUUCUAAAAAGUGAAGAGGUUAUCUGUAACCAGAUGAUUCCAGGUGUAAUGGCAUAUUAAUGGUGUAUUUAAUGAAUGUAGCAAAAUAUAAUUCUUUGGAGAUUUUAAACUGCAUCAGAAAAUAAAGUUCUAAGGCUCUUUCUCACUGAUUUUUUCUCUCAACAAAUACACAUGUCCAGUAAUUACAUAGAUUAACCCAAAGUUUCCAGACUUGAGAAUGCCACAGACUAUAGAUUUGAUGUUUUUUAUUUUUUUCAUGUAGUUUUCUAUAUUCCUCCACUGAUUCAUGAAAAUACUGUAAAUUAUUUCCUUAUAGAAACGGUAUACUAAAACUUCAAUGCUGUACACUAUUCUUCCAAAACAUAUUCACCAUUGGUGUUUACACAAAUAUUCAAAAGAGAACAUUACAUGUAACAAUUUGGACUAAUCAAACAACUCUUCUAUUAACAUAAUAACAAUUCUGGGGCAGCUGGGUGGCUUAGUUGGUUCAGUAUUUGACUCUUGACUUUGUCUCUGGUCAUGGUCUCACAGUUUGUGAGUUAGAGCCCUCCAUCGGGCUCUGCACUGAAAGCACGGAGCCUGGUUGGGAUUCUCUCUAACCCUCUCCUCUGCACCUCCCCGCCUUUCAAAAUAAAUAAACAUUAAAAAAACAUAACAGUUGUAUAAGAAAGUCUUUGGGUAAAGCGAUCAUGUUUCAUUUAUUUUUAAGACUAAGGAUAUCAGCUAGAUUGUCUAGAAAUUUCAUGUAUUGAAAAAAAAGACAUUAAACCCAAAAUAUAAUUUGAAAACAAAUGAAGAGAGCAUCAUCAAAUUAAAUCAAGUCAAUCUCUAAAUAAAACAUACAACGAUUGAUUAUUUAUAUAAUUAACCAACUUUGAAUAUGGCAGACAAAUGAUUGAGGAAACAAAUGAAAAAAAUGCUACAAGCAAUGAUACUGGAAAAAAAAAAAACCUCACCUGUACAACUCCUAGCUCUUCGUUUACAUUUAUCUUCUCAGAUAUCAGAGGAGGCUCGCUUUUCCCACAGCUCUCCUGACUGAUGAGUGUGUCUGCAUAGUUGGGCUGGGGGAAGAUCAUGUGACUGUUCCGGGAGUCUGCUGUGAGGGAGACCUCGUGGGAAUAAGUCUGCAGGAAAGCUCGCACCCCGUCCACACCCACAAAGUGCGAGGUGGGCAUGCCAGCCAACCUGCUUCCUGAUGCCUGGAGCUGACUUGAAGAGUGCCAGCGUCUCAGCCUGAGUGCCAGUAGCACGAUGACAAAGGUGAGGAAGACACAGGAGACUAUAGCCACUGCCACCACAAGGUACAGCGUGAGACUGGAGUCGUCAGCAUAGGAUGAGGGCUUGAGGCUGUCCAGGUCAGCCAGGACAUCUGGGAUACUGUCAGCUACAGCCACAGUGAGUGUGACAGUAGCUGAAAGAGGGGGCUGGCCAUGAUCCUGGACCACCACCACUAAGCUCUGCUUGAGCGCGUCUCUGUCCAGCAGGGCCCGUGCAGUGCGCACCUCACCCGUGUGUAGCCCCACCGUGAAAAGUCCUGGCUCGCUGACCUUGAGCAGGUGGUAGGACAGCCAGGCAUUCUGGCCAGAGUCUCUGUCCACCGCCACCACCUUGGUCACUAGGUAUCCGGGCUCUGCGGAUCGGGGAGCCAGCUCCACACCAGUGGAGCCAUCGGUGGGAAUGCUGGGGUACAGGAUUUCAGGGGCAUUGUCAUUCUGAUCCAGCACAAACAGGCUCAGUGACAUGUUGCUACUAAGUGGAGGGUCUCCACUGUCACUGGCCAUUACCCACAGCUGCAGAUCUUUAACUUGCUCAUAGUCAAAAGAGCCCAGAGCAUACAGGAUGCCUGUAUUGGAGUUGAUGAAGACAUAGGUAGACAGAGACAUUCCUUGAAACAUAUCCUCAGCCAGAGAGUAAGUGAUCUUGGCAUUGUUGCCGCUGUCAGGGUCGUGUGCAGUCACAGAUAAAAUUGAGAUGCCUCUGGGAUUGUUUUCCAGGAUGUAGGUGGAGUAUGAGGUGUGAGGGAAGACGGGAGGGUUGUCAUUGAUGUCUGCCACAUUCAGGGAGAUGUGGCUUUCUGUAGACAGGGGUGGGUUUCCACUGUCAAUGACAGUUAUUGUGAUGUUAUAAUCUGAGAUCUCUUCUCUGUCCAGGGCUUUCGUUGUCAAUAAGUGAUAAUAAUUAUCAACUGACUUUUCCAAUUUAAAGGGCAAGUUCCUGGGGAUAGAACACACAAUCUCACCAUUCUCUCCAGAAUCACCAUCAUGUACACUAAACAGUGCAAUUACAGUUCCAGGAGGACAGUCUUCAGAGACGGAACUAGCAAGGGAUGUGAGGAUCACUUCUGGGACAUUGUCAUUCACAUCCUGUACUGUCACCAAUACCUUAGCACUGGCAAGAAGAGCACCUCCAUCCUGAGCUACCACUUCCAUGAGGUAGAAUCUGGAUUCCUCAUAAUCCAGUGAUUGCAGAGUUGAGAUUUCACCCAGGCUGGAAUCAAGUUGGAAAGUCUCUGAAAUCUUAUCUUCUUCAUUGCGAAAAGAGUAUGUUAAUUCCCCGUUUACUCCCUCAUCUGGAUCCGUGGCGGUUAGUGUAAGCAGCCGAGAGCCUACAGGUAUGUUCUCUGGAACAGUCACUCUGUACUCAGAUUGAGUGAAGAGAGGCGCAUUAUCAUUUGCGUCGAGGACCACCACGUGUAUGUGCAUACUGCUAGAGAGUAUGGGGUCCCCACCAUCUAAAGCUGUGAGAAGAAGGUCGUGGACAGCUACUUUCUCGCGGUCCAAGGGCCGUUCCAGUACCAGCUCCGGAUAUUUUUGUCCAUCAGUUCCGCUUUUCUGCUCCAGAGAGAAGUGCAUAUUGGGGCUGAGCUUAUAACUCUGGAGAGAGUUCAUACUCACAUCCGCGUCUCGAGCGAAAGGAAGGGCUAACCGAGUUCCCGUAGCCGCAUUUUCAUUAACUUUUACUUUUACUUCCUCAUCCCGGAAACGUGGAAAGUUAUCAUUAAUAUCUAUUAUUUCUAUUUCUACUCCAUAAAUUUUCAUGUUAUUCUCAAGCAAGAUGUUAAAACUCACCACACACCGUGCGCUCUGAGCACAGAGCUCCUCCCGGUCUAUCCUGCCUGCGGUGACCAAACUGCCGCUUCGCGGGUUCAGAGAAAAGAGCCGCGUCCUACCUCUGGAGACGAUGCGGACGCCACGCUCCGCCAGCUCCCGGGGCUCCAGACCCAGGUCCUUGGCGAUGCUGCCCACGAAGGAGCCUUUGUCCAGCUCCUCCAGCACCGAGUAGCGGAUCGUCCCGGCUCCAGCUCUCCAUAACGUCUCCAGGAGCAGGAGGAGCAGAAGCGGCUCUAUGCAGCCCCAACCCCUCAGUGUAUCCGCCAUUUCCUUCUCUCCGACCAGUUUCCUUAGUCCUAAUUCCAGCCUGCUGUACCCUUAUUUCUUUCAAGUCAAAGGAAACACAUUACUUGACAGAAACGCGAGGCUUUUCCCCAAAUUUCUCUGGUCUGUGUUUGUUUAGGGCGGAAGGAGCAGAGUCAGGUCGCCGUCAGCGGACAGCUUUUCCACUUUGGUGAACAGCGACGCUCAGAGUCCUAACCAGUUACUACACCAAUUCUGUUUUUAUUUCAUAAAUGUUUAAUUAUAUUUUAUUUCUAAUAAUUUUGCUGUAUUCUUAACCUAUUGACAAGUGACAUUACUCAUAUCUAAGAUUUAAUUCUGAAAUAUCAAAGGACUUCCACAAACCUUGAGAUCAAUAUAAUUAUUACAUUUUUAUUUCUUUAGAAAAGUUUUAUUUAAUGUGCCAUUGAGUCUAUGUCCUUUAUUUACCUCUUACCUAUACUGAGUCCAUUAAAUUAGGACAUUAGAAUUCUUAAUUUUGUAGGCUUUAAAAUUUCAUCUUUUUAUUAGGAUAUAUUUAUGAAAACGUACCUACUAUGGAUAAGAAUGUCCAGGAAACAAACCUAGCUCUCAUCGCACCAUUGCACAAAGGCCUACUGAUUCAAGCAAAUUGUAUUAGAUGUUGUAAACAGAGAAAAUAAAGGGUCCAUUUUGCUACUUGAGGUCUUUAAGAAAGUUCCCAGACUUUAACACUAAGAGUUUGGCAGCUCCACUAUAUCAGACUAAGAGUCUGAAUUGGGUUAACUACACAUUAUUUUUAUUUCCCUAUUAUCAUGUCUAAAUUGGAGUUAAGGCAUUUUACAGUGACAGACUCUUGGGGAAGUCAGUGUAGUGACUGAAGAAAAGGGCUUUCGUUCGUCACCUAGGCAGAAAAACAUGUCCAGAUCCUUAGUGAGCAGGCAAGUGCCCUUUCUAUGUUGAGACGGAUAUUAAACGCUAUCACCUUUACAUGGUAGCAGGAAAAAAAGCCUCACGAUUGAAAACAAAGGGACAUUUCAGAGAGUCCACUGAGAAAAGCAAUUUUUUUCCUAAUGACACCUCCAUAGGAAAAGAAACAACACGAAGAGAUUUUAUAUCUAUAAUUAGAAAAUUCAAAAAAGAAAGUUUUAGGUAAACAAUGUGAGUAUAAUUUGCAAAAUUUUUCUCAUUGUACAAUUUUUCACAAAAGCAAUUUGUUAUAUGCAUGAGAGAGAACGAUUUCUCCCACUUAUUAAAUACAUUCUUUUUAAAAGUUUAUUUAUUUAUGAGAGAGGUAGAGCAUGAGCAGGGAAAUGCAGAGAAAGACAGAAUCCCAAGAAGGCUCCACACUGACAGGGCUCAAUCUCGUGAAUCAUGAGAUCAUGACCUGAGCCAAAAUCAAGAGUCAGACACUUAACCACUGAGCCACCCAGGCACCCCCAUAAACACACUCUUAAUAACAGAUACUACAGGCCUCAAAUGUUGCUUAUCCUUUAAAAACAGAUCUGAGAUCUCAAGACAUUAAGCUUGAAAAGAUACUUAGAAGGGAGGUCUACAAUUCAGUCCUACCCAUGCCCUGCUGUUGACAAGCCAUGACCCUGGGUAAAAUUUUCUUUUUGGUUCCCAGUUUUCCCAAACGAGGAACAUGGAAAGCUCUCUUUACUCUGAAGUGCUAUAAUUCUAAGAAGAAGUAAAACUAAAAUCUGAGUAAUAAAGAUCUGUAGGGUAAAAGGAAUAGCUUAAGAUCCCAGUAGUAAUGAAAUUUCAGAGGAAAGUAAUAUAAAGAUGAAGCAGAAACUAUUUCGUGUAGUAAAGGCUUGUAAUUAUGGACAAAUAAAUCUCACACAUCAGAAAGAAAACCUAUGUUAAAAUUCUGUUUAGAUAAGAUUAAGAUAACUAAGGCAGAAAACUGCCUAAAUUGAACCCACAAGACAAAAUAUGAAAUAGUGAUUUCUACGCCAAUAAGGUGAUUUGUUAACAAACAUUGAAACUCAAAGUGAAAACUAGCGAAGUAAAUUAAAACUCACCUUUAGAAUAGUAUCUGAUGCAAAUGGGACCCCAGCGCCUUCAUGAUUUGUAUUUGGUAACCAAGCGGCAUCUUCACAGAGGAGAUCCUGAGAGGGAGUCUCUUCCGGGGUGACAUUAAGAAAAUUAAACUCUGUCUUAGCUAACUGUGAAGCAACGCACAGAUUGUAGGAAUAAGGCAAAGUCCCUUCUCUGUAAUCGGGGAGAACCCCAGGUCCAGAUUUGGAACGGAGGCGUGACUGAAAGCAGCCCCAGGCAGCGGGGCUGGGGGAGCGGCGCAGGCGCAGGGCCACCGCCAGAAUCACCUCAAGGAGGAAGAGCACCGAGAUCAAGGCCAAAGCCACCACCAGGUAAAACUGCAGCUCGGCCUGGGGGUCAGAGGGCUCCGGGCGGUCGCUGACAUCCGGCAGUACUUCUUGGAGGCUGUCGGCGAAAACCAGGUGCAGCGUCGCGGUGGCAGAGAGGGGCGGCUGUCCCCCGUCCCGCACGGCGACCAGCAGGCGCUGGCGGGCCGCGUCCCUGUCGCCCAAAGCACGCGCAGUGCGCACCUCGCCCGUGCGCAGCCCCAGGCUGAAGAGUCCGGGCUCGCUGGCCUGCAGCACGUGGUACGACAGCCACGCAUUGUGUCCCGAGUCGGCGUCCACCGCCACCACCUUGGUGACCAGGUAGCCGGGCUGCGCGGCGCGCGGCACCGUGUCGAAGAGCGCCGAGCCGUCGGGCCCCAGCGCCGGGUACAGCACCCUAGGCGCGUUGUCGUUGCGGUCGCCCACCAACACGCGCAGGCUCACGUUGGCGCUGAGCGCGGGCGAGCCCUGGUCGCGGGCCUGCACCGUCAGCUCGAAGGCGCGCAGCUGCUCGUGGUCGAAGGCGCGCUGCGCGAACACCACGCCGCUCUGCGCGCUCACGGACACGUAGGACGCCAGCGCCCGCGGCUCCAGGUCGCUGGCCACGAUGGAGUAGGACACGCGGCCGUUGGGUCCCAGGUCGGGGUCGGAGGCGCUGACUUGGGCGAUGGAGGCUCCUGGAGGGUUGUUCUCGGCAAUAUGAACCAAAUAGAAAACCUGUUCGAAAACUGGCGCGUUGUCGUUGACAUCUGCGAUGUGCAGAGUGAUGUUUAUACUAGAGGAGAGGGGCGGCUUACCUCUGUCGGUGGCCAUUAUAGUGAUGUUAUAUUCUGGAUUCUCUUCCCGGUCCAGGGGCCCGUCUGUCACUAGCUUGUAAUAGUUCUUGGAGUAAGAUUUCAAUAUAAACUCGGCCUUUCCCAAGAUGCGGCAGUAAACUUCUCCAUUUUCUCCAGAGUCUCUAUCUCUUGUUUUUAUCAAGGCGAUCACAGUUCCUGGUGGUGAAUCUUCUGGUAGCGGAGUAAAUACCGAAGUAAUAACCAUUUCAGGUGCACAAUCAUUCUCAUCGAGAAUUUCAACUUGGAUACUGCAAUAGGCUGCUAGAUCUCCAUGAUCUUUUGCUUCUACACUGAGAGUGUAACUAUUAGCAAUUUCAAAAUCGAAAUUAUCCUUUGUUGUGAUUUCACCUGUUCUUUUAUCUAAGUUAAAAAACUUUUCCACUAGUUCAUCCACAUGAUGAAAGGAGUAGGUGAUUUCUGCGUUGACGCCCUCAUCCUGAUCAGUGGCUGUUACUUGAAGCACGGAGAAGCCCAGAGGUACACCUUCCUGCAGGCUGACCUUGUACACGUCCUGGAUGAAAACUGGGGCAUUAUCGUUGGCAUCGGUCACUUGGAUUUGGAUCCGAGCGGUGCCGCUUUGGGGUGGGUCGCCACCAUCCACAGCUGUUAGAACCAACUGAUGGAGAUUCUGUUCUUCUCUGUCUAGUGAAUGUUUCAGAACCAACUCAGGAUAUUUACGUCCAUCUGGAGCCUGUUUCUCUAUGAGAUCAAAGUGUUCAUUGUCAUUAAGAUGGUAUCUUUGCAGUGAAUUUGGGCCAGCAUCUGAAUCCAGGGCCGGGUCUAGUGGAAAUGUUUUACCUGGCUUAGUGGAUUCUCCAAUUUUUAAAUCAAUAUUAUUCUGUUUGAAUAGCGGGGUAUUGUCAUUUAUAUCCUGUACUAUUACUGCUACAUGGAAAAUAUUUAGUGGGUUUUCAGCGACAGUAUCGAAAUCCAGAAUACACAGAGGCUUCUUUCCGCAUAUCUGCUCUCGAUCUAUUCUGUCACUCACAAGUAAGUCCCCACUCUCAGGGUUUACAGUGAAAUAUUCUUUCUCCGCACUAACCCGCAGCUUCCGGGCUGGCAAAUCCCGGACACUGAGCCCCAGAUCCUUGGCGAGGUUUCCUACCACCGAGUCUUUGGCCAGCUCUUCGGGAAUUGAAUAGCGGAUUUGAUCUGGAAGAGCCCCGCGGAACAAAGACAGCAGGAAGGGCAACAAUACCUGCCGCCACCGCGCUGGGCUGCUCCUUUCUGCGCUCGGCCUCGGCCUCAUCCUGUCUCCCUUCACGGUGGCUCUGCUUUUUGGAUGGGAGGAGAAUUAAGCCCUCUGUGGAUGGCAAAAUCCCGGGUAGGGUCGCUUUUCCUGCUUUUGUUUUCUGUAUCCGAAUCAGUACUGGUGUCCUCUAUGUGGCUGGUUUGAGCAGGAAGUUACCCUCUAAGAGACUCCCAAAUGCUUUUUCUCUCACUUUUUUGACCUACAGCGACACCCAGAGGUUUUCCCGUGGAAAUGCACCAAAUGCUUAUAAACGUUUUGCGAACCUUUCUUUUUGGAAUCUACAGUUGUUUUUAAAUAGAUAUAUAUUCAUGUAGCUCCAAAAUUGAAGAGGUACAUAACGCAUAUUCUCUCCCUGUCUUGUUUCAAUAACACGUUUAUCCCGAGAGAAAUAAGUAUUACGUUUUGUGUGUAUCAUUCCAGAGAUGUUUUGUGUAGUGCAGCAAAUUUUUAUAAAUGUUCUCCCCCACGUUAAUACAUAAAUGUAGGUAUACAAUAUACCAUGUUCUGCAUCUUGCUUUUUUCAUUCAUUGUAUCUUGAAAUCAUUUCAUAUAAGUACAUAGCUUUCCAAUUUAUUUCUUACAGUUAUGUAGUAAUCCAUCAUAUGGUUGUACAAUAAUUUACUUAAUCAGAAAUAUUUUCUAAAAGAAACCCAGUGCCCAAACAAAAAAAAUUUUUUCUGUGUGAUAUUAGGGUGUUAAUUAUCUACUGCUCUCCUAGGCAUUUAAAAUAUGUAUCACUCUGAUUCUGGAAUGUAUUCCCAAUGCCAACCUCCAAAAAUGCUUGACAGUUUCAGGCCAAUUCGUACUUCCAAAUUUUCUUUUAAAGCUUCAGUAUUUUAAAUAAUCUCAGACAAAUAAUCUCUCCUCAAAUAACCUUCAAUAUUUUACAUAAUGUCCCCUCAGAAUCUUGCUCAAUAUUAUUUCCUCUCUCCUUUCCCCAUGCCAGACAAUUGUAUCAUAUGACAUUCUGUUUAUUCUAUGUAUUGCAACACAGUUUCCCAUGAAGGCAAAAGCAUUUAGAAACUAAAAUGCAGGGUGCUUGUGUGGCUCAGUCCAAAAAGCAUGUGACUCUUGAUCUUGGGGUCAUGAGUUUGAGCCCCAUGUUGGGUGUAGAGAUUACUUAAACUAAAAAGAAAAUUGUUUUAAAUAAGUAAAUUCUUUUUUAAAAACUAAAAUGUUCGAGCCCCGCGUCAGGCUCUGGGCUGAUGGCUCGGAGCCUGGAGCCUGUUUCCGAUUCUGUGUCUCCCUCUCUCUCUCUGCCCCUCCCCCGUUCAUGCUCUGUCUCUCUCUGUCCCAAAAUAAAUAAAAAACGUUGAAAAAAAAUUAAAAAAAAAAAACUAAAAUGCCCUUUCUUAAAUUGAAUUGAGGCAUAGUUCACAGUUUACUGCUACAGUUCCCAGCUAUGAAAGAGCACUAAUUUGUGUUGCCCUACACACUCUUGAAUUCUUAAUUAUCUCAUGGAACUAAAUGAAGGCACAUUUAACAAAAGUGUGGCAUAUCCCUUGAACACAAAAUAUUUCCCCCAUAUCAGAUCAUCCCAGAGCCAUCUCAGAGCUACCUGAGAGCAAUUUUCAGGAACAGGGAUGAGGCCUACUUACUAAGUAGCAUAAAUCAUAUCAGUUCAGAAUCUAAGUUACCCAAUCUCCACAAGUGACUCUCAUGAUGAAAAAGGAGAGAUUUUGAAAGGUAUGUUUUCCUUAGAAAUUGAAAAGGGUCUCAUUGUGAUGUCAUAAUAGGAAAUUUAUAAAUUAUUAAAAUUAUUCCUUCAACCUACUUAAAGAUGAGUGAAAUAAAAUGUGCAAUAUUUUUCGUAAUCCCAGAAGUGAGCCAAAGGAAUCACACAUAGUCACUACUGGUGUAUCUCACAAACUGCAACAACAAAAUAUUUGAAAUAUACCGAUCCUAAUGAGAGCUAUCCUUGUUAAAAUUAGACCUAAAAGCUAAUUUUUUGGGGGGAGGGGAAAAAAUAGUUACAAACAGAGAGGGAAGGAGGCACACCAUAAGAGACUCUUAAAUACAGAGAACAAACUGACUGGUUGAUGGGGGAUGAGGGAGGGGAAAAUGGGUGAUGGGCAUUGAGAAGGGCACUUGUUGGGAUGAGCACUGGGUGUUGUACAUAAGCGGUGAAUCAUGGAAAUCUACCCCCAAAACCAAGAGCACUCUGUACACACUGUAUGUUAGCUAAUUUGAUAAUAAAUUAUACUAAAUAAAUAAAUAAAGGUUAAUAUUUUCUCCAAUAUUUAUAAAUUGCCACUGUUUAAUUAUAAUGGAAAAUACCCUUUCAAGGAAAAACAAACUUCAAGCAAAGUGUAAAAAAGAGGACAGUUAAAAAUACUCAGUCUUCUAUUGAAGAGAGAUGGUUAGAGAUAUAUAGUUAAGAAAUUGUUGUUGAAACUGUAACUACAUGAAGACUAAAAAUGAUAAAUAAUAAACAGCUUUUAGGAAUACUAACUGCUAUUGAUUAUUCUUGAGGAAUCAUCUGCUCCUCCCCUUUAAAGUAAUAGAAUACUAAAAAAAAAAAAUGCCUUUACUUCAUCAAUUACCUACUUUAUACAGUUGGAGACAUUUAUAUAGCUCUUUGCCUAUGUUUUGGUGCGGCAAGAUUGACUCACCUGAUGAGAACCAGGGUCUCCUUUUGUUUCAAGUAAAUCCUGAGUUAUGAGAAGAGGCUCGCUUUUCCCACAGCUCUCCUGGCUGAGGAGCGUGUCGGCAUAGUUGGGCUGGGGGAAGAUCACAUGACUCUCCCUGGAGUCUGCCCUGAGGGAGACCUCCUGGGAAUAGGUCUGCAGGAAAGCUCGCACCCCAUCCAUGCCCACAAAGUGCGAGGCUGGCACUCCAGCCAAUCCGACCCCCACAGCCUGGAGCUGACGCGAAGUGUGCCAGCGCCUCAGCCUGAGCGCCAGCAGAACAAUGACAAAGGCAAGGAAGACACAGGAAACUGUGGCCACCGCCACCACCAGGUACAGCGUGAGGCUAGAGUCAUCAGCAUAGGCUGAGGGCUUGAGGCUGCUCAGGUCAGCCAGGACUUCUGGAAUGCUUUCAGCCACCGCCACUGUGAGUGUGACAGUGGCUGAGAGAGGGGGUUGGCCGUGGUCCUGCACCGCCACCACCAGACUCUGCUUGAGCGCAUCUCUGUCCAGCAGGGCCCGUGCAGUGCGCACCUCGCCCGUGUGCAGCCCCACCGUGAAGAGCCCUGGCUCGCUGGCCUUGAGUAGACGGUAGGACAGCCAGGCGUUCUGGCCAGAGUCUCUGUCCACCGCCACCACCUUGGUCACCAGGUAGCCAGGCUCUGCUGAUCGGGGUGCCAGCUCCACGCCUAUGGAACCGUCAGUGGGGAGAGCAGGGUACAGGAUUUCAGGGGAAUUGUCGUUCUGAUCCAGAACAAAAAUACUCAAGGACACAUUGCUGCUGAGUGGAGGGUCCCCACUGUCACUGGCUGUCACUAGUAGUUGCAGGUCUCUAACCUGCUCAUAGUCGAAAGAGCACAAUGCAUACAGGACACCAGUAUCAGAGUUGAUGGAAACAUAGAAGGAGAGAGGCAUCCCGUGGAGUGUGUCCUCAGCUAAGGAGUAAGUUACUCUGGCAUUCUCAAUGCUGUCAGGGUCCUGGGCAGACAUGGAUAAAAUGGAAGCUCCUCUAGGGUUGUUUUCAGGAAUGUAGGCAGAGUAGGAAGCAUGAGGGAAAGUAGGUGGGUUGUCGUUGAUGUCUGCCACAUGCAAUGAGAUGUGAGUUUCUGUAGACAGUGGUGGAGUUCCAUGAUCAGUGGAAGUUACUGUGAUGUUAUAUUCUGAGACUUCUUCCCUAUCCAGUGUUCUUUGUGUCGACAGACGAUGAUAAUUUCCAUAGGUCUUUUCAAGUGUGAAUGGCAGAUUAUCCAGAAUAGAACAUGUGACAAGGCCAUUCUCUCCUGAAUCACUGUCAUGCACAUUGAAAAGUGCAAUUACUGUACCUGGGGAAGAAGUUUCUUGGAUAGAGCUGGUGAGAGAUGUAACUGUGACUUCUGGAGCAUUGUCAUUUACAUCCAGAACUGUCACCAGAACUUUACUUCUGGCUCGGAGACCAGGUCCAUCAUGGGCUUCUACAUCUAUAUCAUAGAAUCCAGAGUCUUCAUAAUCUAGAUCCCCCACUAUUGUUAUGUCCCCAGUCAAAGAAUUCAACUGGAAUAGUUGGGACAUUUUAUCACUCACUUUGCGGAAAGAAUAUGUUACUUCUCCAUUGGCUCCUUCAUCUGGAUCAGUGGCCUUUACAGUGAGUAGCCAGUAGCCCACUGGCACAUUCUCCGGAACAUUCACGUGGUACUCUGGCUGAGUAAAUACAGGAGCAUUGUCGUUGGUAUCCACAAGAGUUACAUGAAUCUCGACAGUGCCAGAGCGAACCAGGUCGCCUCCAUCAAAGGCGGUGAGGAGGAGGUGGUGAACCGCCUCUUCUUCUCUAUCUAGGGCAAGCUCCAGCACCAGCUCAGGGUACUUAAUGCCAUCCACUCCACUUUGCACGUCUAGGGAGAAGUGAACAUUUGAACUGAGCUGGUAACCCUGCAGGGAGUUGACCCCUACAUCUGGAUCAAAAGCUUCAGGAAGAGGAAAUCUUGUCCCAGGAUUUUCAUUUUCAGCGACUUUUAUUUCCCUUUGCUCUAUCCCAAAGUUGGGUGCAUUAUCAUUAACAUCGAUUAUUUCCACUUCUACUCCAAAAAUCUUCACUUUGUCCUCCAGAAGAAUCUCCAGGCUUACUACACACUUUGGAGAUCUCUCACAGAGCUCUUCCCGGUCUAUCUUACCCGCGGUGACCAAGCUGCCGCUUCGAGGGUUCAGAGCAAAGAGAUGCGUCCUACCUCUGGAGAUGAUGCGGACUCCCCGCUCUGACAGUUCCCGGGGCUCCAGUCCCAGGUCCUUGGCGAUGUUGCCCACAUAAGAGCCUUUGUCCAGCUCUUCAGGCACCGAGUAUCGUAUCUGUUCCGCCUGUAUUUCCCACAAAGCCCCCAGGAGAACGCAGAUCCUGACCAGCCGGCUGCAGUCUGGCCGAUAAGGAGGAGCCGCCAUUGCAGCCCCGCUGCGGAAUAGCUUGCACUUGGGUGCUCCCUUAGUGGAGGUCAGAGGAGCCCCAGAAUCUUCAGGGUCCAAGAUUAUGUGCUUUCACCGUUGGAUGAUGGAGUUCUGGGGUCCAGUCUGAAGCUUCCCAAAGCCACAGGGCUAGUGCUUUGUGAUGCAGAAAUCUUGUGGUUUGGAUUAAAUUCCUUGUUGUCUUUUUCCCCUGACUGGUGAACAGCGACACUCAGAGUCCUAACCUGUUACUGCAAUCUAUUCUUGGUAAAGAAAAGAAGUUUAUACCAUUUCUUUUCCAUAAUUUAUUUCUCCCCAAAAGAAUAAAAUUCAAGCUCCCAUUAUUUUAUUUGUAAUAAAAAUCUAGGCUUGACCCAAAUGUUACUGUACAAUAAGCCCUCUAAAGUAAUUUAUUUCUUUUUAAAGAAAAUAUGGUGAUUUUUUCUAACAAUUUUUUCUCUUCUAAGUUUUUCCAUUAUUUAUUUUCAUAGCCCAUUUUCAGUACAGUGCAUUGUGUGAGUGACACAUUUAUCCUUUACAGGAACAAGGAUUAACUUGAAGAAUGAAAGAAUAGGUGAAAAAACAGUGUCAGGUCAGGGAAGUUGGAGGUCUGAGCUCUAGUCCCUUCCUAUCCAGAAACAAAUUCCCUCACAUGAGUUGACCCUUUAAAGUAUGGGCAACUUUUCAAUUCUCUUGUAAAAAACAUCUACUGUUCAAGAGCUAGUCUUACCCCUGAGCAAAUGGGGUUGGCAAAUAUGAUAAUAGGUUUGGGAAGGUAAUUGGUUUAUUAAUUUUGUAUAAAGAAAAUUUUAGAUCACAGCUAUGUUUGUGACUAUCAUGUUCACAGUCUGUCCUCAAAUUUUAGAACAGCACCUUUCAUAGAGUAGAUACUCAGUUUUUCAUUGUUUAAUGAGUGCAUCACUAAUAUAAACGCAAAGCCCUAAAACAAUUGGUCAAUAACUCUGAUAUUAAAAAUAAAUAAUAAAGAUAAAAAAGACAGAAAAGUUAAACUGAAGUUUUGUAUGUAAACAGCAGACAAUAUUCAGUACCACAUAAAGACACAUCCAGAAAGUAUUAUUUUACUAUUAUCUAUAAGUUUACUUUAAGUUUGAUUUUAGAAAUAACCACUAAAAGGAAAGUUUUCAUAUAUAUACGUGUGUGUGUGUGUGUGUGUGUUACCAUUGCAUGUUUCAGAGUUUUCUUACACAUGAAUACUUUGAGUAACUUACUAAUCGUAGAAAACUUAAUAUAAAGCAGCAAGUAGCCAGUUCUUUAGAUUUUUCCUCACAUAAUAAUUACCUUCUAGAAGUUACUUAUGAAUUCUAUCAGACAAGAAAGGCUAUUGUUUAUUCAGAAUAUUAAAGUCAUCAAAUUUUGGAGAGCAUACUAAAGGUAAUUUUCACAAUCCUCAAAGAACUCACAAAUUGUUGGGGAUUAAGAGGUAAAAUGAGGUGUUUCAAAAAACUUUGACUCACUUCUCAGAAACCUAUACUAAAAAAAAGAAUUAAGAAAGAGGCUUUAUACACAAAAAGGCUCAUUACAUUCCUCAUCAUAACAGCAACAAAGUAGAGGGUAUAAAAAUAAGUUAUUACAUAAUGGUUAAGAAGGUUAUUUUUCAAUAUAUUUUUUAAAGUUUAUUUUUGAGAGAGACAUAGCAAGCAAAGGAAGGGCAGAGAGAGGGAGAGAGAAUCCUAAGCAGGCUCCACACUACCACUACAGAGCACAACACAGGGCUCAAACUCACCAACUGUGAGAUCAUGACCUGAGCCAAAAUCAAGAGUUGGAUGCUUAACUGACUGAGCCAUCCAGGUGCCCCAAGAUAGUUAUUUUUUAAAAGAUUUUAUUUUUAAGGAAUCUCUACACCCAGCAUGGGGCUUGAACCCACAAACCCUAGAUGGAGAGUCAUAGGUUCUACUAACUGAGCAAGACAGGUGCCCCCCAAAAUUAUUUUUGAAUGAGACUACGGAGUGGGAAUAAAAUUCACUGGAAACUAGUGAUCCAAAUCACUGUUUGCCACAUGUGAGAAGGCAAAGAAGUGCUAAGAAACUUAACUCUUGGAAAGUUCUAUUAAAAAUACACAUUGCAACAAAAAGAUGAAAAAACUAUAAUAGAUUUGAUGGACUUUAACUUAAGCAGGAAGGACUGUCAGUACAUUUAUGUAGAAUAAAGUUUGAAAAAAACAGUAUCACACAUCAACUAAGAAAGGACAAUACUCUUACUAAAGGUGGUGACAUCCCAGAACGAGCUCUCCUUACCAAUAUUUUUUGAUCAUACAAAAUUGCCAACAGUACAGAUUGAGAAAUACUAAUUAUGUAACUGCCAAGACUAUUGGGCAAAUAAGGAACCAGUCCCCGCCCAUCCAAUAAACCUCUUCUACCACUACCAUCACUAGGAAAAUGAAAAACAAUAAACAAAAGAAUUAUGCACAAUUGAGAAUAAAAGCAUGUUUGCAGAAACUCACGUGAGAGGCAAAAGACGAGUCAUAAGCGAUUUGGGGGUCUUCACUGCGGGCACAUACAUCCAUACAAGGAUCUUCACAAAGAAGAUCCUGAGGCGGAGUCAUUUCUGGUUUCAGGUUGGAAAAAUUAAACUCUGUCUUGGCUGAUUGUGAGGCAGCGCACAGAUUGUAGGAAUAAGGCAAAGUCCCUUCUCUGUAAUCGGGGAGAACCCCAGGUCCAGAUUUGGAACGGAGACCUGACUGAAAGCAGCCCCAGGCAGCAGGGCUUGGGGAGCGGCGCAGGCGCAGGGCCACCGCCAGAAUCACCGCAAGGAGGAAGAGCACCGAGAUCAAGGCCAAAGCCACCACCAGGUAAAACUGCAGCUCGGCCUGGGGGUCAGAGGGCUCCGGGCGGUCGCUGACAUCCGGCAGUACUUCUUGGAGGCUGUCGGCGAAAACCAGGUGCAGCGUCGCGGUGGCAGAGAGGGGCGGCUGUCCCCCGUCCCGCACGGCGACCAGCAGGCGCUGGCGGGCCGCGUCCCUGUCGCCCAAAGCACGCGCAGUGCGCACCUCGCCCGUGCGCAGCCCCAGGCUGAAGAGUCCGGGCUCGCUGGCCUGCAGCACGUGGUACGACAGCCACGCAUUGUGUCCCGAGUCGGCGUCCACCGCCACCACCUUGGUGACCAGGUAGCCGGGCUGCGCGGCGCGCGGCACCGUGUCGAAGAGCGCCGAGCCGUCGGGCCCCAGCGCCGGGUACAGCACCCUAGGCGCGUUGUCGUUGCGGUCGCCCACCAACACGCGCAGGCUCACGUUGGCGCUGAGCGCGGGCGAGCCCUGGUCGCGGGCCUGCACCGUCAGCUCGAAGGCGCGCAGCUGCUCGUGGUCGAAGGCGCGCUGCGCGAACACCACGCCGCUCUGCGCGCUCACGGACACGUAGGACGCCAGCGCCCGCGGCUCCAGGUCGCUGGCCACGAUGGAGUAGGACACGCGGCCGUUGGGUCCCAGGUCGGGGUCGGAGGCGCUGACUUGGGCGAUGGAGGCUCCUGGAGGGUUGUUCUCCAUCACGCGGACCACAUAGGAGGCCUGGUGGAAAACCGGCGCGUUGUCGUUGACAUCGCUGAUUUGCAGGGUGACGCCUGUACUGGAGGAUAGGGAUGGCUUGCCCUCGUCAGUGGCUGUGAUGGUGACAUUGUACUCUGCCAUCUGUUCCCUAUCUAGGGCAUUGUCAAUCACCAACUUGUAAUAAUUCUUGGAGGUGGAUUCUAAUUUGAAGGGAACUUCUUCCUGAAUAUAGCACCUCACCAGUCCAUUUUCCCCAGAGUCUCGGUCUCUCACUUUAAAGAGAGCUAUUACGGUUCCAAUGUCUGAGUCCUCGGGAAUCUGGUUAGAAAAGGACAUCAACGUGACCUCUGGGGCAUUGUCAUUCUCAUCAACAAUUUCAAUCUGAACAUUACAGUGAGCGGUGUGUACCCCUCCAUCCUUGGCCUCUACACUCAACAUAUAACUACUGGUCUCUUCAAAGUCCAAUGUACCAUUGGUUGUAAUGUCACCAGUAUUUGGGUUGAGAUUGAAGAGAAGGCUGGUACUUGUUGGGGCAUUGAGGAAGGCAUAGGUAAUCUCUGCAUUAACGCCCUGGUCCUGGUCGGUGGCCAUCACUUGCAACACAGAAGUCCCCCAGGGCACGUUUUCUUGGAUGUUAACUCUGUAUGUGUCCUGGCUGAACAAUGGAGCAUUAUCAUUGGCAUCAGUGACCUGAAUCUGGAUCUGGGUGGUUCCACUUAACGGAGGGUCUCCACCAUCUAUGGCAGUCAGGAUUAACUGGUAGGAACUCUGCUGUUCUCUGUCCAGAGGUUUUUCCAGCAGUAAUUCUGGGUAUUUACUCCCAUCAGGACUUCCCUUCGUUGUCAGGGAGAAAUGUUCAUUGGGGUUGAUAGUGUAUAUCUUCAGGGAGUUACUUUCUACAUCUGCAUCUUGUGCAGAAUCCAGAGGGAAUUUUACACCUGGUAAGGCUGACUCGCAGAUCUCCAAGUCAAUGCCUUUUGCAAUGAAACGUGGUGCAUUGUCGUUAAUAUCUUGGAUUGUAACAAUCACAUGGAAAACAUUCAUGGGAUUUUCAGCGACCAUUUCAAAUUCUAGUGCACACUCGGAUUUCCUCCCACAAAUUUCCUCUCGAUCUAUCCUACCGUUCACUAACAAAUCCCCACUCUCUGCACUCACACUGAAGAAAUUCUCUGCACUAACCCGCAGUUUUCGAGCUGGCAACUCCUGGACACUGAGCUUCAAGUCCUUGGCGACGUUCCCCACUCGCAAGCCUUUAGCCAGCUCCUCUGGAAUUGUGUACUGGAUGUGCUGGGAGAUAGUCCCCCACAACAAAGACAGCAGGAAGAGAAACAGUACCUGAAUUUUCAUCCAUUUGGCUUUUCUGGAGCUUCUUUGCAUUUUUUGAACUCUCCGGGAAGCUUCUUUUCAGGAUGUCUCUGGGAUGUUUAAAAAAAAUCAGUGACAGCACCUAGACUUUUGUGAUUUGAGGGUAGGACGUGUUUGUCAGGAACUGGUGGGUGCACUGGCGCUGCCUCCGAGUUCUGAUGUGCGCAAGACAAAGCAGGAAAACACUGCCCAACUUUCACGCAGAACUGAGAACCCCCUUCUUCCCUUCGGUCAACAGCGGCGCUCAGAGGUUGUCUGGGAGAACUGCAUAUUGCGGAGCCAUUUACUCUCAAAGGGUAAGCUCUUUAUGUAUGUUGUCUUUUUAUUUGGUGUAAAAAAACCAAAUACUCAUUUUUCUCCUCUAAAUUGGAUAUUUUCUAUCUUUAUUAUUUCAUACGUGUUGCCAUCAUUUUACAUUCUUUUUUGUAUUAAAAAAUUUCACAUGGCAUACAACCAUUUUUUUUUUUCAGUUUUGGGGGCAAAAAUAUCUUUAAUGAUUCCACUGUAUUUACAAACACUGGCAUGACUAGUAUGGAUGUAACCAAAAAAUUACUGGCUUUUUACCCACAUUUGAGCGGAUACUAUGAUCCUUACAUUUUUGUAAAAUGCAUAACCUCCCUUAUUUUGACUCUCUCCAUAAAUAUGUUGUCAACUCAGUAAUAUUUUUCAAAGAUACAGUCUUUGCAAAAAAAAGAGUGAAUCAAGACCCUAGACUUAUUUUAAUAUAUUGCUCAAUUUUUUAAAACAUAGGUAAUCUUCCCAUUAAGUACAGCACAGCACAGCCUAAUAUUUUAAAGUGACUAAUUUAGUACACCUGCUUUUAUACAGCUGAAUCUUGUGAAAGAUUUAUUUUACUUAUUUUUAUGCAAUCAGUGCUUUUUACUAUAUUAAUGUAUAUACAACCUCCAUAAUCCCAAUACUCAGCUCCAGCUGAUUUAUACCAUUUAUACCAUUGAAUUUAUACCAAUGAAUUUGACUUGAUCACUAGUAAAUAUUGGAGAGGCAUUGAGAAUCCUUAGACACUUCAUUUUGGAACUUAGCCUUUGAUCUCUGAACUCAUAUUGGGUAACUAAAGCAAAUACCUUUAUUUCAAAUGCACUGCUAAAUUAUAUACCAAUGUAGUGAUUUAUUCCACUGCUUUGCACCCACCAUACUCAUAUUACACCCCAGUCAAAACAGAUGAUUAUCUAUUUUCCAAAGAUGUUAUUUUCAUUUUUUUCUCUACCUCAUGACUUUAUAUUUUCUGUUCCUUUUGCCAUAAAUCCUCCACCUUUCUGUUGUAAUGAAUUCUUGCCCAUCCUUUUAAAUGUAGUUUUUGGUGGGGGCACCUGGAUAGCUCAGUCGGUUGAGCAUCUGACUUCGGCUCAGGUCAUGAUCUCACGGCUCGUGAGUUCGAGCCCCACAUUGGGCUCUACGCUGACAGCUUAGAGCCUGAAGCCUCCUUCUGAUACUGUGUCUCCCUUUCUCUCUGCCCUCCCCCUCUUGGGUUCUGUGUGUCUCUCUCUCUCUCUAAAAUAAAUAACUUCUAAAAAAAAUUUUUAAGUCCUGUAUGGUGAAAAUGGAAUAUCUGAGACUUUUCAUUAUCUAUACAAGUAGAUAGAAAUUGUACUGCCUUUGUACUAUCUGUACACUUUCACAAUAUUUAGAUAAAUGUUAUUUAUCUAAUAUUUAGGCUUUGUUUUAUAUAGGAUUCUUAGAAAAUUCUCUUUGAGUAUCUAGAGUUCCUGUGGCACUAUCCAUUUAAUAAUUUUUCUCUUUAUGAGGAAAGUGAUACUAGUAUUAUAAAGAUUUUUCCUUAAAGAAGGUAUUUUGAAGAUUAUGGGCCUUUUUUCCUGUACUGUAUUGCACGUUUGAGUGACAAUAUGCCUUUCUCUGCUCCAGUUAUUUUGCUCAGGCCCCACGUCUCACACUCUUGAAUAUGUAUCUAAUAUAUUGAGGGAGAUAUUGGUUCCUUUAUUUGAAUUCUAAUGAAUUAUAUUUGGUCUCAUUUUGUUUGACUCUCUGAGGUGAUUUCAUGGGUGAAUAUAAUUUCAUAAAUUUCAAAAUAGGCCAACAAUUUCUGGCUCAAAAGACUUGUAGGACUCCUAUUCCAUUGUUGGAGUGGCUGGUCUGGAAAUCUCCUGCUGAGGCUGAGACAUAUCUCCUUGCAUUUUUUAAAAAUCCUUCUCAAAGGACAAGACAUGCCACUCCAAGGCUCAUAAUGAUUUAGGCAAUUGACCUUCCCACCUUCAAGCAAAAGGCUGAAAUCAGUAUGAGUGCACACAAUCACCCACACAUACUUUCGGUAUACAUAGUAAGGACUACAGGACAGGUAAAACCAUUUGACCAAUCUGUACAUUUUUUUACCCAACAAUUUUUAUGUCAUUGAGAUGAAGAGUUUGGCCUGGCUUGGUAGGAGCUGAGCAUCAUUUUAUUGGAGACUAAAAUAUCUAAUAUUCAUAUUUUUUACUUGUAUCAGUCAGGAUAAGCUAAGUAGUUGGAGUGACAAACUUCAAAUCACAGGAAGUUAAGAUGAAGGUCUAUUUAUCACAGGUAUACACAUCAAUGUAGGACAACCACAGGGCUCUUUCUUGGUGUAGUUAUUCAAGCAAUAAGGUAGAAGGAAGAGUCACAAUUUCAAAAAAUAACUUAGAGAUCUGGAAAUUCUUGCAAUGCCAUCGGGAGCUUUCCCCAGGGAGAAGCACAUAUUACCUUCAUUUACAAUAUAUUGGCCAGAACUAGUUACCUACACCCACUCGGUCAUAACCAGGUCAGGAAGAUCUGCUCUACCAACCGCCCAAAAGAAGAGAGGAACUAAUUAUUUAAACAACAGAACUAAUGACUACCGUGUUGCUUUAUUUUCAAAUAAAUGUAUAUUAAAUAUUUAUAAAAUCACACUGGCAUAACUGUUCUUUAUAAUAUUCCAAUAAAGAAAUAAACCUACCUCGAGUAGGUUGGGGUCUCCUUUCGUUUCCGGUAAAUCUUGAGAUACCAGGAAAGACUCGCUUUUCCCACAGCUUUCUCCGCUGAGGAGCGUGUCGGCAUAGUUGGGCUGCGGGAAGAUCACGUGACUCUCCCGGGAGUCCGCCCUGAGGGAGACCUCCUGGGAAUAGGUCUGCAGGAAAGUGCGCACCCCAUCCACGCCCACAAAGUGCGUGGCGGGCACGCCAGCCAAUCCAACCCCCGCAGCCUGGAGCAGACGGGACGAGUGCCAGCGCCUCAGCCUGAGUCCCAGCAGCACGAUCACAAAGGCCAGAAAGAUGCAGGAGACUGCAGCCACCGCCACCACCAGGUACAGCGUGAGGUCAGAAUCGUCUGGGUCGGCGGCUGUCCUGAUGCUGCCCAGAUCGGCCAGGACGUCUGGGAUGUUGUCAGCUACGGCCACGGUGAGCGUGACGGUGGCCGAGAGAGGGGGCUGGCCGUGGUCUUGCACAGCCACCACCAGGCUUUGCUUGAGCGCAUCUCUGUCCAGCAGGGCCCGUGCAGUGCGCACCUCGCCCGUGUGCAGCCCCACCGUGAAGAGCCCUGGUUCGCUGGCCUUGAGUAGACGGUAGGACAGCCAGGCGUUCUGGCCAGAGUCUCUGUCCACCGCCACCACCUUGGUCACCAGGUAUCCGGGCUCUGCGGAUCGGGGCGCCAGCUCCACGCCUGUGGAACCAUCAGUAGGGAGAGCGGGAUACAGGAUUUCUGGAGCAUUGUCGUUCUGGUCCAGCACGAAUAUGCUCAGUGACACAUUGCUGCUGAGGGGUGGGUUCCCACUGUCACUGGCUGUCACCAAUAGCUGCAGGUCUCUAACCUGCUCGUAGUCAAAGGAACGGAGAGCAUACAGGACACCGGUGUCGGAAUUGAUGGAGACGUAAGUGGAUAGAGGCGCCCCCUGGAUGGUAUCCUCAGUCAGUGCGAAAGUGAUGUGGGCGUUCUGGAUGCUGUCGGGAUCCUGGGCGGUCACACAGAAGAUGGAAGCUCCCCUGGGGUUGUUUUCCGGAAUGUAGGCUGAAUAGGAGGCCUGACUGAAAGCAGGUGGGUUGUCAUUGAUGUCUGCAACAUGCAGAGUGAUAUGAAUGUUCGUAGACAGUGGGGGGCUUCCUCCAUCUGUGGCUCUGAGAGUGAUGUUAUAUUCAGACACCUGUUCACGAUCCAGAGAUCUGGCUGUCACUAAGCGGUAAUACUGGUCUAUUGAUUUUUCUAAAUUAAAUGGCACAUUUCCCAGGACAAAAACUGUGACUUGUCCAUUUUGCCCAGAAUCUCGGUCAUGCACAUUGAUAAGGGCAAUUUCUCUUCCAGCAGUAGCCUCUUCUGGGACUGAUUCAGUAAGAGAAGUGAUUGUUACUUCUGGGGCAUUGUCAUUCACAUCCAGAACUGUGACUAAAAUCUUAGCUCUUGAAAGGAGACCAGGUCCAUCUUGUGCUUCAAUUUUAAUUUCAUAGAACAUAGCAUCCUCAUAAUCUAGACUUUUUAAUAUUGAUAUAUCUCCAGUCACUGAAUUGAGAUAAAAAAUCUCAGCGACUUUCCCAGGCAUUUUAUCUAGAAUAUAGGACACUUGAGCAUUGAAUCCUUCAUCAGGGUCAGUGGCAUUCACUGUGAGCAGUGUGGUACCCACUGGCAAGUUCUCUUGAAUACUUAAUUGAUACUCAGAUUGAGUAAAUACUGGUGGGUUGUCAUUUGCAUCCAAAACUAUCACUUGGAUGUACAAGUUGCCAGAGUGGACAGGAUUCCCACCAUCAGAAGCAAUGAGGACAAGCUGAUGAACUUUCUUUUGUUCACGGUCCAGAGCCCUCUCCAACACCAGCUCUGGGUACUUUGUCCCAUCAGAGACAUGCUUCACAGUCAGAGAAAAGUAGUCAUUGGGGUGGAGAUGGUAGUUCUGAAGGGAGUUCAUGCCCACAUCUGGGUCAAAUGCAGUCUUAAGUGGAAAUCGAGUUCCAGAAGCCGCUAGUUCGCCAAUUUUUAUUUCCAAUUUCUCUGUUAGAAAAUCAGGAGCAUUAUCAUUAAUGUCUUUAAUUUCUAUUUCUACUUCAAAAAUUUUCAAUUUGUCUUCUACAAGGACGUUAAAUUUUACAAGACACAGCGCACUCUGAGCGCAGAGCUCCUCCCGGUCUAUCCUGCUUGCGGUGACCAAGCUGCCGCUUCGCGGGUUCAGAGCAAAGAGCUGCGUCCUACCUCUAGAGAUGAUGCGGACUCCACGCUCCGCCAGCUCCCAGGGCUCCAAUCCCAGGUUCUUGGAGAUGUUGCCCACAAAGGAACCUUUGUCCAUUUCCUCUUGCACUGAGUAGUGGAUCUGCCCAGAUCCAGUCUUGCAUAGCGUCCACAGAAGCACAAACAGCAGGGCCAAUCCUCUGCAGUGUCUGAAUCUCAGGUAUUUAGUCAUUUCUUCUUUGGUGAAUUAUUUUCUGUGAAUUCCGUUCCAACUACCCACGACGGACUCAAAUCAUAUUUGUUUUCAAGGAACUAAGCUUUUAAUGGUCCUAUUUUAUGGGUCACAGAGCUGGUUGACUAACAGGAUGAGCUUUGUAGCAGCUCGGAUCUUCUGGGGUCUGAUUGACUGGUUCUUUGCUUUUUAGGAACAAGGAAAUGGUGGACAAGCUCGCCAGCCCCGUUUUCCUCCUUGAGUGGUCAGCAGCG
This 40435-nucleotide long non-coding RNA is filed under the name Lynx pardinus (Iberian lynx). The stretch from base 36161 to 36245 matches the Rfam family "tRNA". Lineage: Eukaryota; Metazoa; Chordata; Mammalia; Carnivora; Felidae. The record is from RNAcentral.